RNAcentral lists this ribosomal RNA (253 nucleotides) under uncultured bacterium. RNAcentral describes it as "partial 16S ribosomal RNA". It matches the Rfam family "Bacterial small subunit ribosomal RNA", at positions 524 to 776 of the family's 1533-position model. The record is from RNAcentral.
UACGUAGGUGGCAAGCGUUGUCCGGAAUCAUUGGGCGUAAAGCGCGUGUAGGCGGCUCGGUAAGUCCGCUCUGAAAGCCCGGGGCUCAACCCCGGGAGGCGGGUGGAUACUGUCGAGCUCGAGUCCGGAAGAGGAGUGUGGAAUUCCUGGUGUAGCGGUGAAAUGCGCAGAUAUCAGGAGGAACACCAAUGGCGAAGGCAGCACUCUGGGACGUGACUGACGCUGAGACGCGAAAGCGUGGGGAGCAAACAGG